AUAAUACUCCCUUCGUCCGGAAUUACUUGUCAUCAAAAUGGAUGUGUCUAGAACUAAAAUACAUCUAGAUACAUCCGUUUCAAUGACAAGUAUUCUCGGACGGAGGGAGUAGUAG
Molecule: non-coding RNA, 115 nt
Organism: Triticum aestivum (bread wheat)
Lineage: Eukaryota; Viridiplantae; Streptophyta; Magnoliopsida; Poales; Poaceae
Source: Rfam